RNAcentral lists this long non-coding RNA (260 nucleotides) under Apteryx rowi (Okarito brown kiwi). RNAcentral's name for it is "lncRNA (ENSARWG00000005709.1)". Lineage: Eukaryota; Metazoa; Chordata; Aves; Apterygiformes; Apterygidae. The record is from RNAcentral.
GGAGUGUACCACGGCUCACUGGCCUCAGACCACGUGCCAAGAUCCUAGAAUCCUUCUUUACUGCUUCCAGCUACAGUGAAACUCCUCAAGUCUUUCACUCGGGGCAGUUCCCAAAACACAGGCCAUGAGAGGAAAAGAAGUGGAAAGAACAGGAAGACAAACAAACAGAAGAAUGGAUGUAUGACAAAGACUAUCAUCAACCAAUUCUUUUGACUGGCAGUGGUGACCAAAAGCAAAGUUUAUGGGAAUACACAUUUCAG